UGGGGAAUAUUGCACAAUGGGGGAAACCCUGAUGCAGCGACGCCGCGUGAGCGAUGAAGGCUUUCGAGUCGUAAAGCUCUGUCCUAUGGGAAGAUAAUGACGGUACCAUAGAAGAAAGCCCCGGCUAAUUACGUGCCAGCAGCCGCGGUAAUAUGUAAGGGGCGAGCGUUGUCCGGAAUUAUUGGGCGUAAAGAGUGCGUAGGCGGCAAAUUAAGUCAGAUGUGAAAACUAAGGGCUCAACCCAUAGAUUGCAUCUGAAACUGAUAUGCUUGAGUCAAGGAGAGGAAAGUGGAAUUCCUAGUGUAGCGGUGGAAUGCGUAGAUAUUAGGAGGAAUACCGGUGGCGAAGGCGACUUUCUGGACUUGAACUGACGCUGAGGCACGAAAGCGUGGGGAGCAAACAGG
RNAcentral lists this ribosomal RNA (404 nucleotides) under Verrucomicrobiota bacterium. RNAcentral describes it as "Verrucomicrobia bacterium partial 16S ribosomal RNA". It matches the Rfam family "Bacterial small subunit ribosomal RNA", at positions 355 to 776 of the family's 1533-position model. Lineage: Bacteria; Pseudomonadati; Verrucomicrobiota. The record is from RNAcentral.